Long non-coding RNA from Sander lucioperca (pikeperch), 693 nucleotides. RefSeq lists it as uncharacterized. The transcript is spliced from 4 exons. The record is from RefSeq and is a predicted model, not a curated record. NCBI's taxonomy places the organism in Eukaryota, Metazoa, Chordata, Actinopteri, Perciformes, Percidae.
CAGACUGAUUGUUGUAAUGAUGAUUAUGUGUGAUCAACGAGAGGUAUCUGUUCUGCAUUCUACAGGAAAUUCAGGAUUUGUUGCCAAACUUCAGCUUGCAAAGCAGACCCAUGGGGUUACAGUCUUGCAAGCCUUGCAACUCCUGCUUGCAAAGUAAGGAGGAAUGCAGACCGGCUGGUGGCUGCUCGUGUAUGUGUGAAGACUGGACAUAUUGCUCUGAACACUGCUGUGACAUCUGCUGCCAGAUAUGUGUAGACGUGUGCUCUGGCUUGUGUUCAGGAGACUGCAGCUACACCUUCUGUACCCUCUGCCUCAGCCUGGCACAGAACUGUAUCUCAUUUUUUACCACCCAACAAACGGAAACAUCAGAGGCACAACAUAUUGAAGAGAGUCUGACUGCAUCCUUCCACAGUGGCUGUGAAGCCAAGCUAUCUGCUGCUGUCUAAUGAGGACGGAGAUGAGAUGUGAAAGGAGCUUUCUGCAGAGCGCCAAUGUGGAUUUAAAAAUGGCCCUUACCUAAGCUUAAGGUUAUCCCCACCAUCAUGGCUGAACAAAAGCUCUGUGAAUAAAACAAGCAUUCCUGGCUCACACCCAUGUGAGAAAGAGAGAGACAGUUCCCUUCUUAACACGCAAGACACCAUCUUUCCAGUCUCAUCAUUUCAUGUGGAUGGAUUUAUUUCUUGUCUAUCUGGA